Molecule: ribosomal RNA, 458 nt
Filed under: Amanita proxima
Lineage: Eukaryota; Fungi; Basidiomycota; Agaricomycetes; Agaricales; Amanitaceae
Description: LSU rRNA
Rfam family: Bacterial large subunit ribosomal RNA
Source: RNAcentral
AAAUUAUCCUCAUAAGUUAGACAAUAAGAGGUACCAUUUAGGUAUUUAAUUAUUAAGACUUCUUUAUCUUCUUUAUUGCUUCUAACGAAGUAAUAGUUAUAGGUUUUAUGAAUAAUAAUAAUUUAUAAAUAGAUGGUGGCACAUAAUCGGAGGCCCCGACUGUUUACUAAAAACACAACACAGUGCAAUCAUUAAUGUGAUAGUAUACUGUGUGAAAUUUGCCCAAUGCCAUUAAUAUAAAUGCGGUCAUAGGAAACUGUGACUAAAUGAAAAUCUGGUUAAUAGCGGUCUUAACCAUGAGGAUCCUAAGGUAGCAAAAUAAAUUGGCCAUUAAAUGUGGUCCGGUAUCAAUAAUGUAACGAUGGCCUCACUGUCUCUACAACUUGCUCAGUGAAAUUGAAUUACGCGUGCAGAUGCGCGUUACCUCCAGUGGGACGGGAAGACCCUAUGCACUUUCU